AUUGAACGCUGGCGGCAGGCCUAACACAUGCAAGUCGAACGGUAACAGGAAGAAGCUUGCUUCUUUGCUGACGAGUGGCGGACGGGUGAGUAAUGUCUGGGAAACUGCCUGAUGGAGGGGGAUAACUACUGGAAACGGUAGCUAAUACCGCAUAACGUCGCAAGACCAAAGAGGGGGACCUUCGGGCCUCUUGCCAUCGGAUGUGCCCAGAUGGGAUUAGCUAGUAGGUGGGGUAACGGCUCACCUAGGCGACGAUCCCUAGCUGGUCUGAGAGGAUGACCAGCCACACUGGAACUGAGACACGGUCCAGACUCCUACGGGAGGCAGCAGUGGGGAAUAUUGCACAAUGGGCGCAAGCCUGAUGCAGCCAUGCCGCGUGUAUGAAGAAGGCCUUCGGGUUGUAAAGUACUUUCUGCGGGGAGGAAGGGAGUAAAGUUAAUACCUUUACUCAUUGACGUUACCCGCAGAAGAAGCACCGGCUAACUCCGUG
This 490-nucleotide ribosomal RNA is filed under the name uncultured bacterium. RNAcentral describes it as "partial 16S ribosomal RNA". It matches the Rfam family "Bacterial small subunit ribosomal RNA", at positions 30 to 507 of the family's 1533-position model. The record is from RNAcentral.